RNAcentral lists this long non-coding RNA (1279 nucleotides) under Salvia miltiorrhiza (redroot sage). Its description in RNAcentral is "long non-coding RNA (SMIL_LNC006717)". Lineage: Eukaryota; Viridiplantae; Streptophyta; Magnoliopsida; Lamiales; Lamiaceae. The record is from RNAcentral.
UGCAAAUAUUUUAAGAGUGUGAAUGGGGACAUCUUUCACUUAAAUUGCUGACAUCAAGUCAGUGUAAAAAGGUCAACUAAACCAACCAAUCCAACGGCUGCGUAUGCGUUCUUGCCAUCAUAAAAUAAUCAGGUUCUACUUUCUUUUCCACACAGAAUUAUGUUAUGAAGAUGUAUUAUAGGUUUCAACAAGUUGNAAAGGUUGUAUAAAUCAACAAGUUGAAAAGGUUGUAUAAAUCAACAAGGAUGAAAGGAUGAAUUUGUGUGGAUGUUCUUAGAUCUACAUGCGAAAGAAAAUAAAGAUGUUCAUAGAUCUACAAAAAUCAAAUGCGAAAAACAGACUGCGAACAAGAGCAAAGAUGUUCAUAGAUCUACUGAAUCAGAUGCCAAAAAAUAGUGCUGAAAUCAGAUCUGCGAAAAACAUUUUUUUUGUUUAUAGAUUUUUCAAAAAAUCAGAUGACCAAAACAGAUAGACAAAAAUUAAAUGCCCAAAAUAUCUUACUGUAUUAAACAAGCUGUUGUUUCAGAAUUUGUGGCUAAAUGAAAAAAAUAAUCCAUUCAGCAAGAAAAAAUAUACAUGGAGAUCGCAAGAAUUAAAGAUGCAGUCGAGGGAGGAGGCCGAGAUCUGGAGGCUAGGGCUGGGCGACGCCGUAGUUUGAAACUCGGACGGCGGCGGCUGGAUACGGGCUGAGCAGAGGGAGGCAGCGGCUCAUUUAUCGUCGUCGAGGAGAGAGGCGACACCGCGUUGAGCGUCGUCUAGAUAUGAGGCCGGAGUUGGUAGUUUAGGGAUCUAAGGGUUUUGGACCGCGGCUUUACCGUGAUUCGGUUGCAGGUUUUUCUCCGGCAGAGGGAGAGAGAAGACAAUAGAGAGUACGCUUGAGCUUCUCGCAGGCGGCGGCGGCGGCGAAAAGUGGAAGAAAGUCGGCAGAGGGAGAGAGAAGACAAGGGAGAGCACGUAUGAGCUUCUCACCGGCAGCGGCGAAAGGUGGAAGAAAGUGGAAGGUUUAGACUGGGAGAAGAAAUGAGCGAGAAGAAGCGGCGCUGAACCCUAAAAUUAGAUGAGCUGAGUAUUUAAGCUGUAUUUUAGGGCUGAAAAGUGUAGAUGGACUGUAUUUAAUUUAUUGGGCUGUAUUAGUAAAUACGGUAAAUCUGAAAACAUCUUUCAUCUCCGAUUUUUUGACGCUUCCACUUUUCCCACAAAACCUUUGGAAUGGUAGUGAAAUGGGGUUUCGUCGGCCCAAUUCUUUGAAAUCAGUUUUGAGUUAAUUUGUAGAAAGCAG